This 379-nucleotide long non-coding RNA is filed under the name Heterocephalus glaber (naked mole-rat). Its description in RNAcentral is "lncRNA (ENSHGLG00000046881.1)". Lineage: Eukaryota; Metazoa; Chordata; Mammalia; Rodentia; Bathyergidae. The record is from RNAcentral.
GUUUCUCCUCUGCAACACCCCUCUGCCAGGUGUCACUCUGCGUUGGAGCCAGCAGAUUAUGGACUAACACCUCUACAAACUCCCCAGGAAGAUCCAGGAUUGGAUGUAGAGUGGUAGAAUCCAAAAGCAUGGACACAUUUCCUGAUGUGGUCAACAUUCUCUGAGAGUUCUGCCCUCAAUGAAGGUCCAAAACUUGGAGUCAACUUCCCUCCCUCCCAUAGCCACAUCUGCUCCAUCAUGAAUGCCAGUUCUACCUUCUGCACAGACAGCUGUGAGACCUCUCACCACCUACUGCUUCUCUCACCCAGCCACCAACUCCUGCUAUUCUUCUUCCAGAGAUGAUUUCCGGUGAAGAGUCUUCGAUUGCAUCCAUCUCGGC